GCGAGCGUAGCUCAGCGGUAGAGCCCCACGUUGCCAACGUGGUUGUCGAGGGUUCAAAUCCCUUCGCUCGCUCCA
Molecule: transfer RNA, 75 nt
Filed under: Candidatus Auribacterota bacterium
Lineage: Bacteria; Pseudomonadati; Candidatus Auribacterota
Description: tRNA-Gly
Rfam family: tRNA
About the family: Transfer RNA (tRNA) molecules are approximately 80 nucleotides in length. Their secondary structure includes four short double-helical elements and three loops (D, anti-codon, and T loops). Further hydrogen bonds mediate the characteristic L-shaped molecular structure. tRNAs have two regions of fundamental functional importance: the anti-codon, which is responsible for specific mRNA codon recognition, and the 3' end, to which the tRNAs corresponding amino acid is attached (by aminoacyl-tRNA synthetases). tRNAs cope with the degeneracy of the genetic code in two manners: having more than one tRNA (with a specific anti-codon) for a particular amino acid; and 'wobble' base-pairing, i.e. permitting non-standard base-pairing at the 3rd anti-codon position.
Source: RNAcentral